This 253-nucleotide ribosomal RNA is filed under the name uncultured bacterium. Its description in RNAcentral is "partial 16S ribosomal RNA". It matches the Rfam family "Bacterial small subunit ribosomal RNA", at positions 524 to 776 of the family's 1533-position model. The record is from RNAcentral.
UACGUAGGGACCAAGCGUUGUUCGGAUUUACUGGGCGUAAAGGGCGCGUAGGCGGCAAUUCAAGUCAUCUGUGAAAUCUCCGGGCUUAACUCGGAACGGUCAGAUGAUACUGCUUUGCUAGAGUACAGAAGGGGCAAUCGGAAUUCUUGGUGUAGCGGUGAAAUGCGCAGAUAUCAGGAGGAACACCGGUGGCGAAGGCGGUUCUCUGGGCAUUACCUGACGCUGAGGAGCGAAAGUGUGGGGAGCGAACAGG